AACGAACGCUGGCGGCAGGCUUAACACAUGCAAGUCGAACGGUUGUAGCAAUACAGCAGUGGCAGACGGGUGAGUAACACGUGGGAACCUUCCUAGGGGUACGGAACAACUCAGGGAAACUUGAGCUAAUACCGUAUACGUCCGUGAGGAGAAAGAUUUAUCGCCCUUAGACGGGCCCGCGUCGGAUUAGCUAGUUGGUGGGGUAACGGCCUACCAAGGCGACGAUCCGUAGCUGAUCUUAGAGGAUGAACAGCCACACUGGGCCUGAGACACGGCCCAGACUCCUACGGGAGGCAGCAUUGGGGAAUCUUGGACAAUGGGCGCAAGCCUGAUCCAGCCAUGCCGCGUGAGUGAAGAAGGUCUUCGGAUUGUAAAGCUCUUUUGCCAGGGACGAUAAUGACGGUACCUGGAGAAUAAGCCCCGGCAAACUUCGUGCCAGCAGCCGCGGUAA
RNAcentral lists this ribosomal RNA (451 nucleotides) under uncultured bacterium. Its description in RNAcentral is "partial 16S ribosomal RNA". It matches the Rfam family "Bacterial small subunit ribosomal RNA", at positions 29 to 523 of the family's 1533-position model. The record is from RNAcentral.